CCUACGGGGUGCAGCAGUGGGGAAUAUUGGACAAUGGGCGAAAGCCUGAUCCAGCCAUGCCGCGUGUGUGAAGAAGGCCUUCGGGUUGUAAAGCACUUUCAGUGGGGAAGAAAGCCUUGGGGCUAAUACCCUCGAGGAAGGACAUCACCCACAGAAGAAGCACCGGCUAACUCCGUGCCAGCAGCCGCGGUAAUACGGAGGGUGCGAGCGUUAAUCGGAAUUACUGGGCGUAAAGCGCGCGUAGGCGGUCUGAUAAGCCGGUUGUGAAAGCCCCGGGCUCAACCUGGGAACGGCAUCCGGAACUGUCAGGCUAGAGUGCAGGAGAGGGAGGUAGAAUUCCCGGUGUAGCGGUGAAAUGCGUAGAGAUCGGGAGGAAUACCAGUGGCGAAGGCGGUCUUCUGGACUGACACUGACGCUGAGGUGCGAAAGCGUGGGUAGCAAACAGGAUUAGAUACCCGUGUAGUC
RNAcentral lists this ribosomal RNA (465 nucleotides) under Vreelandella stevensii. RNAcentral's name for it is "partial 16S ribosomal RNA". It matches the Rfam family "Bacterial small subunit ribosomal RNA", at positions 338 to 795 of the family's 1533-position model. The record is from RNAcentral. Lineage: Bacteria; Pseudomonadati; Pseudomonadota; Gammaproteobacteria; Oceanospirillales; Halomonadaceae.